Molecule: ribosomal RNA, 224 nt
Filed under: uncultured bacterium
Lineage: Bacteria
Description: partial 16S ribosomal RNA
Rfam family: Bacterial small subunit ribosomal RNA
Source: RNAcentral
UACGUAGGGUGCAAGCGUUGUCCGGAAUUAUUGGGCGUAAAGAGCUUGUAGGUGGUUUGUCGCGUCUGCUGUGAAAAUCCGAGGCUCAACCUCGGACUUGCAGUGGGUACGGGCAGACUAGAGUGUGGUAGGGGAGACUGGAAUUCCUGGUGUAGCGGUGAAAUGCGCAGAUAUCAGGAGGAACACCGGUGGCGAAGGCGGGUCUCUGGGCCGAUAACUGACGC